RNAcentral lists this ribosomal RNA (248 nucleotides) under Escherichia coli. Its description in RNAcentral is "partial 23S ribosomal RNA". It matches the Rfam family "Bacterial large subunit ribosomal RNA", at positions 1292 to 1543 of the family's 2925-position model. Lineage: Bacteria; Pseudomonadati; Pseudomonadota; Gammaproteobacteria; Enterobacterales; Enterobacteriaceae. The record is from RNAcentral.
GAAUGCUGACAUAAGUAACGAUAAAGCGGGUGAAAAGCCCGCUCGCCGGAAGACCAAGGGUUCCUGUCCAACGUUAAUCGGGGCAGGGUGAGUCGACCCCUAAGGCGAGGCCGAAAGGCGUAGUCGAUGGGAAACAGGUUAAUAUUCCUGUACUUGGUGUUACUGCGAAGGGGGGACGGAGAAGGCUAUGUUGGCCGGGCGACGGUUGUCCCGGUUUAAGCGUGUAGGCUGGUUUUCCAGGCAAAUCC